CAGUCGCCACGGUAAUACAGAGGGUGCGAGCGUUAAUCGGAUUUACUGGGCGUAAAGCGUGCGUAGGCGGCUUCUUAAGUCGGAUGUGAAAUCCCUGAGCUUAACUUAGGAAUUGCAUUCGAUACUGGGAAGCUAGAGUAUGGGAGAGGAUGGUAGAAUUCCAGGUGUAGCGGUGAAAUGCGUAGAGAUCUGGAGGAAUACCGAUGGCGAAGGCAGCCAUCUGGCCUAAUACUGACGCUGAGGUUCGAAAGCAUGGGGAGCAAACAGGAUUAGAUACCCCAGUAGUCCCUGUCUCUUAUAC
This 301-nucleotide ribosomal RNA is filed under the name uncultured bacterium. Its description in RNAcentral is "partial 16S ribosomal RNA". It matches the Rfam family "Bacterial small subunit ribosomal RNA", at positions 509 to 807 of the family's 1533-position model. The record is from RNAcentral.